GCCAAGAAGCCUAAGGCUGCUACGACCACCGAGGAGGGGGGGUACAAGGCCAAGAAGCCUGCAGUUGCGGCCACGGCCGUGCCGGUGGCGGCGAUGACGGAGGCGGAGGUGGAGGAGCUGCCCAAGGCCAUCGUGCGAUGGCUGAUCAAGGACAAGCUGGCCCGGGCCACUGAGGGGGCAGAGGGAGGGGUGGAGGUCAUCGUCAACAAGGAUGCCAUGGCCGCCUUCGCUGAGGGCACCCACAUCUUCAUCCACCACCUCUCUGACAUGGCGAAUGAUGUGUGCAACGACGGGAAGAGGCAGAUGAUCAACGCCGAGGACGUCUUCAAGGCGCUCGAUGAGAUCGAGUUCCCCAAGUUUGUGGAGCCCCUGAGGACUGAACUGGAAGGUCAGUGUUGUAGCAGCAUGAGCUAUUCACAAGCAGUCCUGUAUCAUUUAUGUUUAUUUGACUAUAUAUCCUGUUUAGGUGUCACAACAUAG
RNAcentral lists this ribosomal RNA (480 nucleotides) under Triticum aestivum (bread wheat). RNAcentral's name for it is "partial small subunit ribosomal RNA". Lineage: Eukaryota; Viridiplantae; Streptophyta; Magnoliopsida; Poales; Poaceae. The record is from RNAcentral.